This 207-nucleotide ribosomal RNA is filed under the name uncultured bacterium. RNAcentral describes it as "partial 16S ribosomal RNA". It matches the Rfam family "Bacterial small subunit ribosomal RNA", at positions 568 to 774 of the family's 1533-position model. The record is from RNAcentral.
UGCGCAGGCGGUUGAGUAAGACAGAUGUGAAAUCCCCGAGCUUAGCUCGGGAAUGGCAUAUGUGACUGCUCGACUAGAGUGUGUCAGAGGGAGGUGGAAUUCCACGUGUAGCAGUGAAAUGCGUAGAUAUGUGGAAGAACACCGAUGGCGAAGGCAGCCUCCUGGGACAUAACUGACGCUCAGGCACGAAAGCGUGGGGAGCAAACA